This 377-nucleotide ribosomal RNA is filed under the name uncultured eukaryote. RNAcentral describes it as "partial 18S ribosomal RNA". It matches the Rfam family "Eukaryotic small subunit ribosomal RNA", at positions 592 to 976 of the family's 1831-position model. The record is from RNAcentral.
CAAUAGCGUAUAUUUAAGUUGCUGCAGUUAAAAAGCUCGUAGUUGGAUUUCGGGUGGGAAUGGCCGGUCCGCCGUUUCGGUGUGCACUUGCUACGCCCACCUUGCUGCCGGGGACGUGCUCUUGAGUUCACGCUCGGGACACGGAGUCGGCGAGGUUACUUUGAGUAAAUUAGAGUGUUCAAAGCAGGCCUACGCUCUGAAUACAUUAGCAUGGAAUAACACGAUAGGACUCUGGCCUAUCUUGUUGGUCUGUAGGACCGGAGUAAUGAUUAAGAGGGACAGUCGGGGGCAUUCGUAUUUCAUUGUCAGAGGUGAAAUUCUUGGAUUUACGAAAGACGAACAACUGCGAAAGCACUUGCCAAGAGUGCUUUCAUUAA